This 274-nucleotide ribosomal RNA is filed under the name uncultured bacterium. RNAcentral's name for it is "partial 16S ribosomal RNA". It matches the Rfam family "Bacterial small subunit ribosomal RNA", at positions 523 to 796 of the family's 1533-position model. The record is from RNAcentral.
AUACGGAGGGUGCAAGCGUUAUUCGGAAUCACUGGGCGGAAAGGGUGCGUAGGCGGUUUGAUAAGUCUGAUGUGAAAUCCUAUGGCUCAACCAUAGAACUGCAUUGGAAACUGUCAGACUAGAAUACUGAAGGGGCAGAUGGAAUUAGUGGUGUAGGGGUAAAGUCCGUAGAUAUCACUAGGAAUACCGAAAGCGAAAGCGAUCUGCUGGGAAGUUAUUGACGCUGAGGCACGUAAGCGUGGGGAGCAAACGGGAUUAGAAACCCUAGUAGUCC